Molecule: small nuclear RNA, 108 nt
Organism: Suncus etruscus (white-toothed pygmy shrew)
Lineage: Eukaryota; Metazoa; Chordata; Mammalia; Eulipotyphla; Soricidae
Source: RefSeq, a predicted model, not a curated record
GUGCUCACUUCAGCAACACAUAUACUAAAGUUAGAACAAUACAGAGAAGAUUAUGGCCCCUGCACAAGAAUGACACACAUGUGUGAAUGUGAAGCAUUCCAUAUUUUA